RNAcentral lists this small RNA (150 nucleotides) under Gopherus agassizii (Agassiz's desert tortoise). Its description in RNAcentral is "TUC338 (ENSGAGG00000023122.1)". The record is from RNAcentral. Lineage: Eukaryota; Metazoa; Chordata; Testudines; Testudinidae.
CUGACAGCCCUGGGGACAGAAAUCCUCUAUUUAUCCACUAAACAAGUACAGCCCAGCUUCACUGCCAUGCCAUUGUUUCUCAUCCCUGGAAAGCCCAUAGCUUAGAGAGAGAAUAUUUCAGCUCCCAUGACCAUUCAGUUGUUGGCCUCU